This 230-nucleotide long non-coding RNA is filed under the name Linum usitatissimum (flax). RNAcentral describes it as "long non-coding RNA (LUSI_LNC000560)". Lineage: Eukaryota; Viridiplantae; Streptophyta; Magnoliopsida; Malpighiales; Linaceae. The record is from RNAcentral.
UUGAUUCAGAGGACGGUUGAUCACCACUACCACCACCACCCCCACCAACUCCUUUAGAGCCACGAGGGACAUAAAGAACCCAACCGAUAUCAAUAAACACAGUGUUAUUCUCCAGCAGCUGAUUCAAGCUCACCAUGCUGGGCAAGCUAGCAUGAAACCUCUGACCAAUAUCAGACAAAGUAUCACCAUUCUGAACAGUAUACGUCACAAUCUGAUCCCCGUUGCCAUCU